This 253-nucleotide ribosomal RNA is filed under the name uncultured bacterium. RNAcentral describes it as "partial 16S ribosomal RNA". It matches the Rfam family "Bacterial small subunit ribosomal RNA", at positions 524 to 776 of the family's 1533-position model. The record is from RNAcentral.
UACGUAGGGUGCGAGCGUUGUCCGGAAUUACUGGGCGUAAAGAGCUCGUAGGCGGCUUGACAAGUCACUUGUGAAAUCUCUGAGCUUAACUCAGAACGGCCAAGUGAUACUGUCGAGCUAGAGUGCAGAAGGGGCAAUCGGAAUUCUUGGUGUAGCGGUGAAAUGCGUAGAUAUCAAGAGGAACACCUGAGGUGAAGACGGGUUGCUGGGCUGACACUGACGCUGAGGCGCGAAAGCCAGGGGAGCAAACGGG